Molecule: unclassified non-coding RNA, 463 nt
Filed under: Hevea brasiliensis (rubber tree)
Lineage: Eukaryota; Viridiplantae; Streptophyta; Magnoliopsida; Malpighiales; Euphorbiaceae
Source: RNAcentral
GAAUCUCCUUGGAAUAUCUACAAGACAUACCAGGCAUGCUCAGAAUAAUAUACAAAUACCAUUUAGUGGAGCAGUAUAAUGUAUUCAGAAUUUGGAUGGAAGAAAAUUAAAAAAAAAAUGCUGAAAUACAGAGCUUUUAAGGAAUUAGUUAACAUAUAAAUUGUAAAUAACACCUAAUUAAAUUUGUCCGGAUAAUGUCUUUAUGAUUGUCAUGCCACUCAUUCAGUUUCAAGUUUCAACCAAGCUUGAAAUUGUUGACAGAAACUGAUUCUUUAAUGGAUGCAAAAAUUAUGAUGCUUCAAUCUAUAAAAACAGAAACGAUCAACCACACAUAAGAUUUCACCAAUUUAAACUGUAUAAUAUGAUAAAAUACUAGUGGAGUUUGGCACAGCUGGGAGUUUCAAGAGGCUGCUGAUGAGAAAACAAAUAUUUUUCACAUGCAUGACACAGUUUUUUUUCUUCG